AUUGAACGCUGGCGGCAGGCCUAACACAUGCAAGUCGAGCGGAUGGAGGGAGCUUGCUCCUGGAUUCAGCUGCGGACGGGUGAGUAAUUCCUACGAAUCUGCCUGGUAUUUGGGGAUAACGUCCGGAAACGGGCGCUAAUACAGCAUACGUCCUUAUAUAGAAAGGGGGGGAUCUUCGGACCUCACGCUAUCAGAUGAGCCUAGGUCGGAUUAGCUAGUUGGUGGGGUAAAGGCCUACCAAGGCGACGAUCCGUAACUGGUCUGAGAGGAUGAUCAGUCACACUGGAACUGAGACACGGUCCAGACUCCUACGGGAGGCAGCAGUGGGGAAUAUUGGACAAUGGGCGAAAGCCUGAUCCAGCAAUGCCGCGUGUGUGAAGAAGGUCUUCGGAUUGUAAAGCACUUUAAGUUGGGAGGAAGGGCAGUAAGUUAAUACAUUGCUGUUUUGACGUUACCAACAGAAUAAGCACCGGCUAACUUCGUG
RNAcentral lists this ribosomal RNA (484 nucleotides) under uncultured bacterium. Its description in RNAcentral is "partial 16S ribosomal RNA". It matches the Rfam family "Bacterial small subunit ribosomal RNA", at positions 30 to 507 of the family's 1533-position model. The record is from RNAcentral.